AAAGAAAAGUGUGAAUGUUGUGGGAACGUGCACAUUGCUACAAUAAAAUUGAUUUUGUUGAAUGUUACAAUAUAUUGCCUUCCCAAAACUCAGUUUUAGGACUUAUGGCAAAAUUAACUGUCAGGACACGCCCACAGUAACGGAUGAACGUGUCUGGGCAAGUCUUAGCGCGUACGUGACUGAUCUGCUGCUGGCCAUGUGGUUAUUUUUCCGUGCUUUUGGAGGGCAUUUCUUCUCAAAACAUACGAGACCAUCAUAUCUACUCCAGGGAGCAUUGCUACUCCCCCCACAAAGCUCUGUCUCAUUCAGAUACAUAUUAUAUAGUGAGGAGUUUGGAAGGUGCAGUUCCACUGAAUCAACGUGUAUGUCUCAGCUGGACGAGGACACUCCAAAGCUCCAGGAGCUGUUCCCUUUGAACAGAGGAGAGGGGUUGGUCAGUGCAUCAACAACUUGUUUAUGGAGCUGAUACAGGAAACUGCAGAUAGCAGUGUGCAUGAGGACCUGAUGCUCUGUGCUUGCCAUGAACCAGAAGCCGUGGAGAAGAGAGAGAAACACGGUGCUUACACGUCUCUGCAGUCUGGCCAGAGCAUGCUGCUUUGUCCUCAGGGUGACACGCGUGCUGAAUCUCCAGGAUCCAUGUAAAGUUUGAGAACUUAUGAGGUAUUUUUUGUGGGACUUGAUGCACUGCGCCCAAAACCAACCUACAAGUUCACAAGCCUAAAAAACAUGCUUCUUGAAGUGAAACGUGAUCGUUGGCCUUGCACUGAAGACUGUUUCAUUUUUUCUGGUCAAGGAUGUUACAUUUUUCUGGGCCUAAUGAGCGUAUUCUGGAGUUGUACCUGAAGGCCUUUCAAGCACUUUUUGGGUCCAAAACUUACUUCUGUAAUCAUUUCUGUUCAUGAACAUUUUUCUGUUAUUGUAAAAUGAUUUAACUGAUGUACUUGCUGAAAUACAAGCUAUUGUGUCAAGCUGCAGUCAGUAAGCUGAGAUCACAUGUUCUAGUAUGUAAACUAGUAUAUUUAAAAAGGAAAAUCUGCUAAUUUAAAACAAUGAUGUCAAAUGAUGCAUUGACUGUUAAGCCGUGAUGUUUCAAAUGGUCAAAUGUGUCAAGAUUAUAAUAUUGAUAAUAUCUGUUUAAUAAAUGCUGGAAUCAAAUACUUCUCGUUUCUUUGGUAAAUGUAUGCCAAUGCUAACUAAUUAUUUUAAGUAAAUUGCACCUUAUAAACAGAAAUAAAGAAUUUGUCAACAUUAAAAAAAAUAAGUGCAGGAUUUAAUUUAAAUCAA
This is a long non-coding RNA of Etheostoma cragini (Arkansas darter), 1284 nucleotides long. RefSeq lists it as uncharacterized. The record is from RefSeq and is a predicted model, not a curated record. The transcript is spliced from 4 exons. Lineage: Eukaryota; Metazoa; Chordata; Actinopteri; Perciformes; Percidae.